This 245-nucleotide ribosomal RNA is filed under the name uncultured bacterium. Its description in RNAcentral is "partial 16S ribosomal RNA". It matches the Rfam family "Bacterial small subunit ribosomal RNA", at positions 524 to 768 of the family's 1533-position model. The record is from RNAcentral.
GACGUAGGUGGCAAGCGUUAUUCGGAAUUACUAGGCGUAAAGCGAGUGUAGGCGGGCGCUUAAGUCUGUUGUGAAAUCUCCCGGCUCAACUGGGAGGGGUCAAUGGAUACUGGGUGUCUAGAGUGAGGUAGGGGGCAGUGGAAUUCCUGGUGUAGCGGUGAAAUGCGUAGAUAUCAGGAGGAACACCUAUGGCGAAAGCAUCUGCCUGGGCCUUUACUGACGCUGAGACUCGAAAGCUAGGGGAG